RNAcentral lists this ribosomal RNA (465 nucleotides) under uncultured bacterium. RNAcentral describes it as "partial 16S ribosomal RNA". It matches the Rfam family "Bacterial small subunit ribosomal RNA", at positions 28 to 507 of the family's 1533-position model. The record is from RNAcentral.
GACGAACGCUGGCGGCGUGCUUAACACAUGCAAGUCGUACGGUAAGGCCCUUUCGGGGGUACACGCGUGGCGAACGGGUGCGUAUCACGUGAGUAACCUGCCCACCACUUUGGGAUAACGCUAGGAAACUGGAGCUCAUACUGGAUAUGUGCUCCUGCUGCAUGGUGGGGGUUGGAAAGCUCCGGGGGUUGUGGAUGGACUCGCGGCCUAUCAGCUUGUUGGUGGGGUAGUGGCCUCCCAAGGCGGCGACGGGUAGCCGGCCCGAGAGGGUGACCGGCCACAUGGGGACUGAGAUACGGCCCGGUCGUCGACGGUAGUCAGCAUGGGGUAAUGAUGCGCAAUUGGCGCAAGCCGGAUGCAGCAACGCCGCGUUCGGGAUGACGGCCUUCGGGUUGUGAACCGCUAUUAGCAGGGACGAAGCUUUUUGGGACGGUACCUGCAUAAUAAGCACCGGCUAACUACGUG